RNAcentral lists this ribosomal RNA (445 nucleotides) under uncultured bacterium. RNAcentral's name for it is "partial 16S ribosomal RNA". It matches the Rfam family "Bacterial small subunit ribosomal RNA", at positions 354 to 796 of the family's 1533-position model. The record is from RNAcentral.
GUGAGGAAUAUUGCGCAAUGGAGGCAACUCUGACGCAGCCAUGCCGCGUGUAGGAAGAAGGCGCUACGCGUUGUAAACUGCUUUUAACCGGGAAGAAACCCCAGGACGUGUCCUGGGUUGACGGUACCGGAGGAAUAAGCACCGGCUAACUUCGUGCCAGCAGCCGCGGUAAUACGAAGGGUGCAAGCGUUAUCCGGAUUCAUUGGGUUUAAAGGGUGCGUAGGCGGAGCGUUAAGUCAGUGGUGAAAUCCUGCAGCUUAACUGUAGACUUGCCAUUGAUACUGGCGCUCUUGAGUGCGCUUGAAGUGGGCGGAAUGUGCCGUGUAGCGGUGAAAUGCUUAGAUAUGGCACAGAACACCAAUUGCGAAGGCAGCUCACUAAGGCGAUACUGACGCUGAGGCACGAAAGCGUGGGGAUCGAACAGAAUUAGAAACCCGGGUAGUCC